UCCCUGGUGGCUCAGAGGUUAAAGUGUCUGCCUCCAAUGCGGGAGACCUGGGUUCGAUCCCUGGGUUGGGAA
Molecule: transfer RNA, 72 nt
Organism: Ovis aries (sheep)
Lineage: Eukaryota; Metazoa; Chordata; Mammalia; Artiodactyla; Bovidae
Rfam family: tRNA
About the family: Transfer RNA (tRNA) molecules are approximately 80 nucleotides in length. Their secondary structure includes four short double-helical elements and three loops (D, anti-codon, and T loops).
Source: Rfam